CCUACGGUAGGCAGCAGUGAGGAAUAUUGGUCAAUGGACGCAAGUCUGAACCAGCCAUGCCGCGUGCAGGAAGACGGCUCUAUGAGUUGUCAACUGCUUUUGUACGAGGGUAAACGCAUAUACGCGUAUCUGUCUGAAAGUAUCGUACGAAUAAGGAUCGGCCAACCCCGUGCCAGCAGCCGCGGCAAUACGGAGGAUUCAAGCGUUAUCCGGAUUUAUUGGGUGUAAAGGGUGAGUAGGCGGUCGGAUAAGUUAGAGGUGAAAUCCCGAGGCUCAACUUGGGAAUUGCCUCUGAUACUGGUCGGCUAGAGAGUAGUUGCGGUAGGCGGAAUGUAUGGUGUAGCGGUGAAAUGCUUAGAGAUCAUACAGAACACCGAUGGCGAAGGCAGCUUACCAGGCUACUUCUGACGUUGAGGCACGAAAGCGUGGGGAGCAAACAGGAUUAGAUACCCUUGUAGUC
RNAcentral lists this ribosomal RNA (460 nucleotides) under uncultured bacterium. RNAcentral describes it as "partial 16S ribosomal RNA". It matches the Rfam family "Bacterial small subunit ribosomal RNA", at positions 338 to 795 of the family's 1533-position model. The record is from RNAcentral.